UACAUGCAAGUCGACGAGAACGACCGGUGCUUGCACUGGUCAAUCUAGUGGCGACGGGUGAGUACACGUGGGUAACCUGCCCAUCAGAGGGGGAUACAUUCGGAAACGGAUGCUAAAACCGCAUAGGUCUUCGAACCGCAUGGUUUGAAGAGGAAAAGAGGCGCAAGCUUCUGCUGAUGGAUGGACCCGCGGUGCAUUAGCUAGUUGGUGAGGUAACGGCUCACCAAGGCCGUGAUGCAUAGCCGACCUGAGAGGGUGAUCGGCCACAUUGGGACUGAGACACGGCCCAAACUCCUACGGGAGGCAGCAGUAGGGAAUCUUCCGCAAUGGACGCAAGUCUGACGGAGCAACGCCGCGUGAGUGAAGAAGGUUUUCGGAUCGUAAAACUCUGUUGUUAGUAGAAGAACAAGUGCUAGAGUAACUGUUAGCGCCUUGACGGUAUCUCAACCAGAAAGCCCAGGCU
RNAcentral lists this ribosomal RNA (463 nucleotides) under Granulicatella adiacens. Its description in RNAcentral is "bacterial SSU rRNA". It matches the Rfam family "Bacterial small subunit ribosomal RNA", at positions 52 to 498 of the family's 1533-position model. The record is from RNAcentral. Lineage: Bacteria; Bacillati; Bacillota; Bacilli; Lactobacillales; Carnobacteriaceae.